ACCUGAUCCAGCCAUGCCGCGUGAGUGAUGAAGGCCCUAGGGUUGUAAAGCUCUUUGUGCGGGAAGAUAAUGACGGUACCGCAAGAAUAAGCCCCGGCUAACUUCGUGCCAGCAGCCGCGGUAAUACGAAGGGGGCUAGCGUUGCUCGGAAUCACUGGGCGUAAAGGGUGCGUAGGCGGGUCUUUAAGUCAGGGGUGAAAUCCUGGAGCUCAACUCCAGAACUGCCUUUGAUACUGAAGAUCUUGAGUUCGGGAGAGGUGAGUGGAACUGCGAGUGUAGAGGUGAAAUUCGUAGAUAUUCGCAAGAACACCAGUGGCGAAGGCGGCUCACUGGCCCGAUACUGACGCUGAGGCACGAAAGCGUGGGGAGCAAACAGGAUUAGAUUCCCUGGUAGUCCACGCCGUAAACGAUGAAUGCCAGCCGUUAGUGGGUUUACUCACUAGUGGCGCAGCUAACGCUUUAAGCAUUCCGCCUGGGGAGUACGGUCGCAAGAUUA
This 496-nucleotide ribosomal RNA is filed under the name uncultured Pseudomonadota bacterium. RNAcentral's name for it is "bacterial SSU rRNA". It matches the Rfam family "Bacterial small subunit ribosomal RNA", at positions 381 to 896 of the family's 1533-position model. The record is from RNAcentral. Lineage: Bacteria; Pseudomonadati; Pseudomonadota.